This 67-nucleotide transfer RNA is filed under the name Pericapritermes sp. H SH-2022a. RNAcentral describes it as "tRNA-Phe". The record is from RNAcentral. Lineage: Eukaryota; Metazoa; Arthropoda; Insecta; Blattodea; Termitidae.
ACUUAAAUAGCUUAUAGUUUAGAGCGUGACACUGAAGAUGUUGAUGAGGCAUUUAUGCCUUUGAGUA